UGGGGGAAUCUUCCCGCAAUGGACGAAAGUCUGACGGAGCAACGCCCGCGUGAGUGAAGAAGGUUUUCGGAUCGUAAAACUCUGUCUUUUGGGGCGAACGUGAGUAUGGUGAACAAUCAUAGUCAGUGACGGUACCAAAGGAGGAAGCCACGGCUAACUACGUGCCAGCAGCCGCGGUAAUACGUAGGUGGCAAGCGUUGCCGAAUAUUGGCGUAAAGAGCGCGUAGGCGGGAUAGUCAGUCUGUUGUAAAAGUGCGGGGCUCAACCCCGUGAUGGCAAUGGAAACAGCUAUUCUUAGAGUGCAGGAGAGGAAAGUGGAAUUCCCAGUGUAGCGGUGAAAAUGCGUAGAUAUUGGGAGGAACACCAGUGGCGAAGGCGACUUUCUGGACUGUGUCUGACGCUGAGGCGCGAAAGCCAGGGGAGCGAACGGGAUUAGAUA
Molecule: ribosomal RNA, 439 nt
Filed under: uncultured bacterium
Lineage: Bacteria
Description: partial 16S ribosomal RNA
Rfam family: Bacterial small subunit ribosomal RNA
Source: RNAcentral